AUCACACCUCAAUUCCAUUUCUUCUCUCACAGCUCCUUUCUCCAUUCAUACUUCCUGUCUCUUCAUUGAGGAAUAAAACAUCCUGGUUUAAGCUCAGAACAUAGGAAUGAAAAUAGGGAAGAAAAUAUGUGAACAAUGCACAGUGUUCUCUCCAAAAUGGCAAGAACGUCAUCUCCUAGAAAAGCACUCAGAAGUCCUUGGCCUUUGGGAAAAAAGAGCUUGCGGAAGAUGACAUUGGUUCAUUGUCCUUAAAAGGCAGAACAGGCCUCCCACUAUUGAAAACAGCUCAUUCCCUUCCACACCUGGUCCUCAGAUCAUGCUUGGGUGCCCAGGCUCCUGUGCUUAAUCUUUCUUAACUGGAUCAUCAGUGCUUGGGAAAUGGGCAGGAUAACAAUUUAAAGAGAUAAUUGACUGCACAAAUCAGCUCAUCCCUUCAAGGGAUAAAUUUUCUCACACUUUCUGGUUCUGUAAUAGGUCAGGGCUGUUGGAGACAGAGCUGGCUUUUUCCCUGAUGUCCAGGGUCCUGAAAUGAAGUAUGGCUGGGCCACUUGACUGGGAGUGCAGUUACAGAAGCCAAUGCUGGUGCUGCAGAGAGCGCAAUGCCCAAAGUGGGUGCAUCUCUGAUGGUGUAAAGGAUGAAGAACAAGCUCUGAGGAAGGUUAGCAGGAAGCUCGAUUCAAGUCACCAGCAGAAAACAGAGUUGCCUUCAUGUCUUUACUCUCAAGGUUCUGCAGCUUGCCAUAGCGGAAACCUGAAUCUUGUUAAAUGGAGAUGGGCAAUACAGGCAAUGGAUCCUUCAGGUCUCCUUCUUCCAAGCAAAUGUAGCCCUGGGAACACUUUCAUUGAAAAGAAAGAAGAGACAAAGUGACUGGUGACUGGUGAUACAAAAUCAGAAUAGGGAUAUUGGUAUUUUAUCUUCCAAUAUGUCUUCUGGACUUCUUGGUGAUACUACUAAUCAGGCGGGAGUGCUGUUGUCCCAUAUACUGCAUUUGUAUGACUCAGAAAAAGAAGCCCAUUCCUCCAGGAAGAAUCAGCCUUGGGCAUCUUGCUUGAGGAGGAGAGCAUGGGCUCAAUUUCUAUUGCAGUGACUAGCUUCUCCAACCCAAACCAGCUACUCUUCUCCAAUGAACAACCUGAACAUCCACACAUGGUGGACCUGUGAAUAGACCUUUGUUUUACAAGUUGCUGUGACUGAAAUGGCUGUGAAAUGAGGACUAAACUGACCGCAAGCAUUGUGCACAAUGAGGUAUACUUAAGGGGAUGUGUGUGUGUGUGUGUCCUGGUAAAUAACUGAAUUGCCAAAGAUGUCUACAGAAGUCCAAGGUGGGUAACAAGAAUGAGAACCAACAAAGGCAGCAUCUCCUAAAAUGUGUUUAGCAGGACCAACUUACCAGGAGAUAAUGAAAAAGCAAGAGGUGGACCUCAAGUCAUUAGGAGAGAAGAAAAUUAAAACCAGACGAUUGGCCCACUGGUGAUAAGUUGCCUGGAAUAAUCAGAGAAUUUGAAGGCUGGCUUGGUUAUCCCUGGAAUCUGGCCCAAUUCUGGUUUAUAGCAAAUGUUGUUAACUAGGGGGUCCAUCAGUGACCUUCAGGGGACCUGUGAACCUCCUGAAAUUACAGUAUUAUUUUGCAUGUAUGUGUGCAUACACACUUUUGCUGUGGAGGGUCUUAGCAGUCAUCAGAUUAUCGGAUUAAGAACUGGUCUCGGCCAGGCACGGUGGCUCACGCCUGUAAUCUCAACACUUUGGGAGGCCGAGGCAGGCGGA
RNAcentral lists this long non-coding RNA (1765 nucleotides) under Homo sapiens (human). RNAcentral describes it as "HSALNT0308844". The record is from RNAcentral. Lineage: Eukaryota; Metazoa; Chordata; Mammalia; Primates; Hominidae.